GGGGAAUGAAGACCUAGUUCAGGGAAUAGGAGGGUGUAUCGCCGCCGGAGUGCGGAACACCCUCGCCUUGAGGGUUCCCACAGUGACUUGCAAAAGUCUAGUGAGACCCGAGAAGGCUGAGGCGGGACACGAAGCAUGUGGUUCUUGUGGUUGCGACGCUCGUGCCGCCAUCUUGGGUGCUGGCGGCGGAAACCGGUACCCCAACUUCCCCUCGGUGCGAACCUGGAGAAGCCACCCCAGCUGUGAGGGACGGUUGCGCCUCAUGGCCCAGGCAAGGGUACCUUCGCUGGAGCAGUACCGCGGACGGAUAUCAUGAGGGUGGCGGGACGUUGGCGGGACGUUGGCGGAACGUUGGCGGAACGUUGGCGGUGUGAGAGGCUGGACUGGAACUCCUGGACUCAAGCGAUCUUCCCAUUUAUCAGGGACUACUGACGCGUGUCUCCCAAUAAAUACCUGAG
Molecule: long non-coding RNA, 458 nt
Filed under: Pan troglodytes (chimpanzee)
Lineage: Eukaryota; Metazoa; Chordata; Mammalia; Primates; Hominidae
Description: long non-coding RNA NONPTRT006670
Source: RNAcentral